This 438-nucleotide long non-coding RNA is filed under the name Pan troglodytes (chimpanzee). Its description in RNAcentral is "long non-coding RNA NONPTRT012376". The record is from RNAcentral. Lineage: Eukaryota; Metazoa; Chordata; Mammalia; Primates; Hominidae.
AGGAACCUCGCGACGCGCUCUCGGGCAUCGGUUUCUCCCAGCAAAGCUUGGAGGGUUUAGCUGCGCGGAGAGCUCAGCGAGCUCUUCUGUGUCUGUUUGGGGCGUGUGGGCUCCGGGAGCGUGAGGACCGGGAAGCUAGGAGGCUCCUUCCCUUCUGGCGGCUCCCUCACUGAGACCGGGCGGUUUGGUUGCGGGGGAAGUGGAGACGAGCCGCCCUUGACCUUUGACUGCAAGAACUCGCCUUGAGCAGGAUAGAGCAAACAUUGAGUGGGCCAGACACUGUUCUGAAAAAUACGCAGUCGACUUUUGAACAGCACAGGCUUGAACUGCAUGCGGCCACUAAUACUCGGACUUUCUUCUGCCUUUGCCACCCCUAAGACAGCAAGACCCACCCCUCCUGCUCCUCAGCCUACUCGAUGUGAUGAUGGUGAGUAUGAA